This 253-nucleotide ribosomal RNA is filed under the name uncultured bacterium. RNAcentral describes it as "partial 16S ribosomal RNA". It matches the Rfam family "Bacterial small subunit ribosomal RNA", at positions 524 to 776 of the family's 1533-position model. The record is from RNAcentral.
UACGUAGGUGGCAAGCGUUGUCCGGAAUUACUGGGCGUAAAGGAUGCGUAGGCGGUGAUUUAAGUGGGAUGUGAAAUACCUGGGCUCAACCUAGGAAUGGCAUUCCAAACUGGAUCGCUAGAGUGCAGGAGAGGAAAGUGGAAUUCCCAGUGUAGCGGUGAAAUGCGUAGAGAUUGGGAGGAACACCAGUGGCGAAGGCGACUUUCUGGACUGUAACUGACGCUGAGGCAUGAAAGUGUGGGGAGCAAACAGG